UACACAUGCAGUCGAACGGUAACAGGACUUCGGUCGCUGACGAGUGGCGCACGGGUGAGUAACGCGUGGGUUACCUGCCCAUAAGUGGGGAACAACUUGGAGAAAUCCAAGCUAAUACCGCAUAAUACCUUCGGGUUAAAGAGGGGGAUCUUCGGACCUCUCGCUUAUGGAUGGUCCCGCGUCUGAUUAGCUAGUUGGUAGGGUAAUGGCCUACCAAGGCAAUGAUCAGUAGCUGGUCUGAGAGGAUGAUCAGUCACACUGGAACUGAGACACGGUCCAGACUCCUACGGGAGGCAGCAGUGGGGAAUUUUGCACAAUGGGCGAAAGCCUGAUGCAGCGACGCCGCGUGCGGGAAGAAGGCCUUCGGGUUGUAAACCGCUUUCAACAGGGAAGAAGGAAUGAGAGCUAAUACCUCUCUGCCUUGACGGUACCUGUAGAAGAAGCACCGGCUAAUUUCGUGCCAGCAGCCGCGGUAAUACGAAAGGUGCAAGCGUUGUUCGGAUUUACUGGGCGUAAAGAGAUCGUAGGUGGCUUGUUAAGUCGGAUGUGAAAUCCCGGGGCUCAACCCCGGAACUGCAUCCGAUACUGGCAGGCUUGAGUUUGGGAGGGGUAAGCGGAAUUCCGUGUGUAGCAGUGAAAUGCGUAGAUAUACGGAGGAACACCUGAGGCGAAAGCGGCUUACUGGACCAAUACUGACACUGAGGAUCGAAAGCGUGGGUAGCAAACAGGAUUAGAUACCCUGGUAGUCCACGCCCUAAACGAUGUCAACUAGCCGUUGCGGGUAUCGACCCCUGCAGUGGCGCAGCUAACGCGA
This 814-nucleotide ribosomal RNA is filed under the name uncultured bacterium. Its description in RNAcentral is "bacterial SSU rRNA". It matches the Rfam family "Bacterial small subunit ribosomal RNA", at positions 50 to 860 of the family's 1533-position model. The record is from RNAcentral.